CAUACUUUCACUACCUACCCUACAAGGAUGCUAUUUGGAAAACAAAUUACAAUCCUUAAAGUGUUACAGAAGUGUUAGUUAAUAUAAUCAUCAUCCUGUGUAUAUGCAAACCCUCCAGUAUAUUCAAAGACAAAGUUUCUGGAUUUGACUACUCAGUCUUGGCAUCUGCCUUCCAACCUGAUGCCCCAGGAAAAGGGAGUCUGAUCCAAGACUUUUCUCUUGUAAUGUGCACUGAGAAUCCAAAGAACAACUCACAUGCAUAUUGCAUGACAAGGUUUACUGAAUACAUUAACGUGUAAUGCUUCAUUGAGUUCGGUGUUGUCUGUCCCCUUUUUCACUGAUGGAAAAACAAGCUCAGAGAGCUCUGGAUUUAUGACUCUGUCAAGUACUAGAUACCAACACAAACAUGAUACUGAUACUUGCCCUAAAUUGAGCUUUCAUUCUUAUGCAUGGAAAUUGGGAAGGAAGAUGGCACUAUAUGUGCAGAGAGGCAGGAGAAAGGAAUGAUCAUCAGAGAGCAAUAGGAAGUUAUUUCCAGAUUUCAGGCUUCACAAGGAGGAUUGAAGACAAUUCUAAGAAACGCCUAAUGAAACAGACCAUCUACCUCUAA
RNAcentral lists this long non-coding RNA (610 nucleotides) under Monodelphis domestica (gray short-tailed opossum). RNAcentral describes it as "lncRNA (ENSMODG00000038754.1)". Lineage: Eukaryota; Metazoa; Chordata; Mammalia; Didelphimorphia; Didelphidae. The record is from RNAcentral.